CCCUCUAAGAAUCGCUCUGCAACCUAUGGUCUUCCUGAGCAUGUUGGAUGGCCAUAAUCAGUUACAUGGAAGUUGGACGAGGAUGGUGAACCAGGAUAGAGUUGGCAAAUUCUUAGCUUGUCUUUACUUAAUUGAAAUUUGGGAGUCACCAUUUGAGGUGCUAUUGUGCUAAUGAAAUUUGAAGGGUUAUUUGGGUCUUUACUGAAUAAGAGAUGAGGUCCACAUUAAUUAGCAAAUAUUGAGGCAUGCAUGCAAUAUGCAAUAUAAGUCCGCAGUGUACUGAAUCAGGCAAGAAAAUCCAAGUGACUUACAUUUAUUGAACCUGCCUUGUGUACUACUCAUCAGACACAACUCACGUAAAUGAGGCUCUUUCAACUCUUGCUCUUUAAAUUCUUCCUCCCUCAUCACCCUUUUCUCCCUGUAACAACGAUCCAAUUCCUGUGACCAUCACCAAUAUGUAUCUUAAUACAUUUUCAAUUAAGUAUCAGUAUAGAUAAUAUACGUUAAAAUAUGGUAUCAAUUUUAUUGUAGCUUCUCAUGAAUAAUUCGUUUAUUAAUUUAUAUGUCCUGAAUUUGCAGUCUUUUCCGAAGACAGUCUUGUGCACCUUUUUUCAUGUGACCCCUUAUCAACUCCUAUUUUGCCUGUGAACCGCUUCAAUACUAAACCAUGAUUGCUUUCAAGCCACUCAUUUGUUCUUUAUGUUCAUCUCUAUAUAUAUAUGUGCAACAUCCAGUUUCUAUCUUAUAUACUUUCAUCUAUUAAGUGGAUUCAAAAACACUCACAAAUUGUCAAAAGUUAAUAAUAAUAUAAUGGGAAAGGCCUCUUUCUGUAUUGCUGCGAUUCUUAUUUUUUUACUUUAUGUUUCAAUAAUGAUUUCACCAAGUCCCAUUAGCCAAUCACACUCGCGUGCUGAAUUUUCAUAUGGUAAAAUGGUUAAAACAAAAGUUUUCGACCACCAAAAAGAAAGAAUAGCAAUACCAGAAACAAUGGUUCUGGCAGGAUCUAAAUUGCCAGAUUGCUCUCAUGCAUGUGGAUCAUGCUCGCCAUGCCGGUUGGUGAUGGUGACCUCUUGUGCACGCAUUAAAGAAGCUGAGCCAUGUCCAUUGGCUUAUAAGUGUAUGUGUCAUGACAAGUCCUACCCUGUCCCAUAGAACAAGACUUAGACAAAAAACAAAAGAGAGGAGGUGUU
Molecule: non-coding RNA, 1190 nt
Organism: Arachis ipaensis
Lineage: Eukaryota; Viridiplantae; Streptophyta; Magnoliopsida; Fabales; Fabaceae
Source: RefSeq, a predicted model, not a curated record